Delphinapterus leucas (beluga whale) is the source of this 1141-nucleotide non-coding RNA. NCBI's taxonomy places the organism in Eukaryota, Metazoa, Chordata, Mammalia, Artiodactyla, Monodontidae. The record is from RefSeq and is a predicted model, not a curated record.
GAGGAGCCCCGCUCCGGGCAGGAGAUAGAGGCAGGGCGGCCGCGGCCGAUGCUGCGCUCAGUGAACACGCGCGAGCCGUCCCAGGUCAUCUUCUACAACCGCAGCCCGCGCGUGGUGCUGCCCGUGUGGCUCAACUUCGAUGGCGAGGUGCAGCCCUACCUGACGCUGCCCCCCAGCAUGGGCCGCCGAAUCCAUAGCUACCGGGGUCAUCUUUGGGUCUUCCUAGCUGCUGGGACAUCUGAUGGGCUUCUAGGUAACCAAACCGAGCUGUUUGUGCCGUCUCUCAAUGUUGAUGGACAGCCUAUUUUUGCAAACAUCACACUACCAGUGUACACCCUGAAAGAGUGGUGCCUCCAGGUUGUGCGAAGCCUAGUCAAGCCUGAGGAUUACAGGAGACUGGACAUUGUGAGAUCCCUCUACGAAGAUUUGGAGGACCACCCAAAUGUGUGGAAGGACCUGGAGCGGUUGCCCCAGGAGCAUAUUGAAAAUCAGUGGAUGGCAGAGGAGACUGAAGAUUUUAAUUGAAAUUUACACUCCUGGAUCUCGGCUUUUGACAGUCCUGACAAGUCUUGAUCUAGAUCUAGGGCUGGUCACUUUUUCUCGGCUUCAAAGUGUCUCAUUCUUGGAGUAAAAAUGCUCCAUUGCUUAAAAGAAAGUUAACUGACCUCACUACUGGGCACUGUGAUGUUUAAGGGCAAAUAUCACAAAAUGUAAUUUAAUGCCUGUCCCUUCUAGAAGUAUUUAUCAAGGGAAAGUAGUUGCAUUUUUGCCUCCUAGUGAGUCAGGAAAGUUUCUGUGUAAGGACUUUUUGUAAAUAAUUCAGUGAGAAUUGUAGCUUAUUCUUGAGUUGUAGGAAAGCAGUGGCGUCUGCUUUUCAUUCCUGUAUCAUGGUUGGUGAUGUGCCCGCGUCCCGCUCUGAGAGACCAAGAUGUCCUUGGGGCAGGGGCAUAUCCGUCUGCCCUUUGACGCUCCAGUACCUCGCACGUUAUGAGCCUUCCCUCAGUGUUUGUUGAAUGAACAUACCAGUGGCUACUUUGGUAGAAAGUAUUAGAGGUUUUCACCCUGUUUUUUGAGGACGGGUGGUAGUGGGGACCUUAAAGUAUAUACAGUAAACGAAUGUUUUCAAGGGCAUCAAUUUUAU